ACUGCUGGAGUUACACCUGGUUCUUUGGUCUCUGAACCAUUUCUUCAUGGAAAAAGUGCAGAUCAGAUAGGCCAUAUCUUUUCAGGAUCCUCCAGCAUAGCCCCGAACCCGAAGUCAUCGGAUUAACAUGUUUGGAUUCACUUUUAAGUUUGUGAGAAUCGCUUCUGCCUCCAUAAACAUAAUAGCUUCUUUCAUAACCACUUCUUUCUGAACGAGGAAAUCUAUGUGUUUCCAAGCACACCAUAGGAAAAUAAACUAUAGAAUGCCAUCAAGGCCUUGUAAAAAUUGGUCUCGUGAUUCUUCAAUCCAUUAUCUAUAAUUGAUAUAUGUGGAAUGUUGUAUGAAGACAAUCUUUUAUCUCUGUGCCCUACUCUCUCUUCUCUCUUGUUUCUCUCUGCUCUUUUCAUCCUCAAACAAACACAGUGUAAGCGAGUCACAACUCUUGUGUAUAAAAAAAAAAAAACUCUUGUAAGAAAAGUCAAUUCCACCCGCCUGAAUGUUCCUAACUUGAAUAAAAUUGUUUCCAUGGUUUUUUUAUAAGCAAGAUUGUUUCCAUGGUACAUGUGUUUAACAAAAAAAAAAUAAUAAUAACUUGAUCAAGUUUACUAUUAUUUACGACUAGAAAUUAAACCCGUGCGUUGCACGGGUUUUUUUUUAAGUUAUAUGUUAAAUUUAUCUUCGUAUAUGUAAUAAUAUAGUAAAUGUAUUGUGUAGUAGAUAAUUAAAAAUAAGAUAAAUAUAUUAAAUGUAAUUACAUUGAUAAAGUUUAAUAAAAUAUUUAUUGUAAACUAAUUUUUUAGUAUAUUAAAAAAUAUUUUAUGUUGCUUACUAAAAUUAAUUUUCAAUUCAUUUCGUGAUCAUAUGUUUUCAUAAUAGUACACUCUCUAUAAUAAGUAAAAGGAGGGAAAUAUAUAAUUAGAGUUGAAUAACUUAGUUUGUGUUUUGUGCAAAAUGAUGUUUCUCUCUUACUUUUAUGCAUGUUUUCACCUUGAAAGCAAUGUUUGCAAUUGAAUUUUUAUGAGGACAAUGGUAUAGAAAAUGUUUAAUUAUGAAAAAUAUUUUUGGUGAUGCAUAUAAAAAAUUAUAUUAUUUAUUGUUUAAUAAGCAUUUAAUUAGUUAAUAUGUAGUUUGUAAGAAAUUAUAUUUUUUAAUUUAAUUAGUUGAUAAAUGAAUUAAGAUAAUAGUUUAUCUUUUUGGUACAUCAGAAAUAUAUAUUGCACCCUUCAUGGAUUGAUAUUUUGACCUCCCCCACCCUACCCACAUGUCCUCUAGCUCUUGCCACUUAAGCUAUCAUUCGAUGACAUAUAAUAAUUUAUCUUAUUCAAUAUAAACUUUUUACAAUUUUGAAGAUAGUAAAAAAUUGAAAAAACUUUAUAAGUGCAAUUUACAAACACAAAUCGUUCUAUCUGAUGUAUAUCUAUCAUAGUGGUUAAAAUUAACUCUUUAAUCCCUAAGUUCGAUCAUUAAGAACUGUACUCUAUGGGAGACCUUUGACUUUAAUCACACUCGAGUAGAACAUGAUUUCCUCAGUAGAUGAUACAUGUGGCUAAAAAACUAACAAAAAUUGUAAAGACUUAGUUAAAAAACUUCAUAAGCUCGUCUACUAUGAAUAUAAAGAUAAAAAUAAGUGGAAGUUGGGUAAGAAUAAUUUUUAUUUUUUAUCAAUUAAGAAAAAUUUUAAGUAUACCAAAUAUAAUUGCAUUUAGGAAGUUCAUUAAACACUUUAUUGUAUACUACUUUUUUUUUCCUAUUAUAGGUGAGUGCAACAAUAAUAAACCUCAGGGAAAGUUAGUGCAAUAUGUCCAUAUUUAUGUAAAAAUCAUAUUAAAUAUUAUUACCAAUUUUUUUUUAAUAUGAAUUAUAAUUAUUAUCAACCAAAAAUUUCAAAAUUAAACUAUUUUGAAAAAUGAAUUUAUUUGAGUUAUUCUUUUAUUUUUUAUAAAAAAUAUGAUAUGCAUAGUAUUUUAAAUAUACCUUCUAAUUUUAUUAAUUUAUUUUUAAUAUAUUUAAUUUAUUUAUUAUCAUAUAUGUAUUUAAUUAGGAAAAUUACUCUAUUAUAAUCAAUAAUUACUUGAUAAAAAAUAUAAAAAUAGCAAUAUUAAGAAGAAUCAUUAAAUGAUAACCACAAUAUGUAAUUAAUGUAAAAACUCAAGUGAGCUUUAUAUAUAUAUAGAUUUUUUAUUAAAAUUAUUAAAUAAAAUUGUUUCUUAAUUUUUAAUUGAGUGCCAAUCACAUAUAAAUUUUUUUUGUUGGGACCGAAAUCACAUAAAACUUAAACACCAACUAUAUGGUAAAUAUUAUCUAACUAGUUAAUAGGUUCAAAAAAAUUUAUCUAACUAGUUAAUAUAAUGCGAUAUUCAUAAAAACAUUAAAAAUAAGUUCAAAAUAUUUAAAUUUUUAAUAUUAAUGAAAAUAUUAAAUGAUGUUUAGAUAUUUUUAUCUCAUCACACAUGAACUUUUUUAAUAUUAAAUAUUUAUAUUUUUUUAAUAUAUUUUAGUAAAUUAGAUAUAAAAAAUACCUCUCCAGUGAUUCUAGAUAAAAUUUAUGCUUAAUUUCAUUUUCAAUUCUCCUAAUAUAGUGUUUUGGUGAAUUUGGUCUUACAGUUUUUUCAGUUAAUUUAAGUCCUCUAAUUUUUUAAAUUAAAAAAAAAUUAUCUUCUCUAUAAUUUUUCAUCGAAUAAUAAUGUCAGCAUACAAUAUUUCAAGGACACGUCAUCACUAAUGUGGAUAAUAUAAUUUUUUCUUUGAAAAAAUAAAAUUGAAAUUACAAUUACAACGGUUCCCUCUUCUAGCGUGGUUGGGUUCGUGUGUGAGGAGGAUGCUUUAGCUUUGUUUUGUUUUGUCAUUUUUUCUUUUCAUUUUUCACAUGGAAAAAAAGGAAAUUAAUUUAUUCACACUCAUACCUCAACAAUAGAGAUAUAAAUAGAAGAGAAAGAAGAAGAAAAUAUGAAAAAAAAAUGAGUAAAAUUAAAAUAAAGGAAAAAAUUGUAUGAAUAAUCAAAGUUGAAAAGAAUAUAUUUGCAGGUAAGGAUUGAAUUUCAGUAUAGAAAAAUUUUAGGUCCAUGAAAAGUAAAUAAAAAAUAUAAAACUCUUAAUAUUUUUCAUCUUAAAUUAUUACACGUGAACAUUUUUUAAUGUUAAAUAUUUUAUUAUUUUAUUAUAUCAAAAUAUGUUAGUAGAUUAGAAAUAAAAAAUACCCCUCGUGCCCUGUGAUUCUAGAUAAAAGUUAUUAAAAUAAAUGGCGUGUCAUUAUUUAAUUCAUGAGGAAUUAUAUAAAGGAAAACGAUUUGUACAAAUAUGCAGACAAUAUAAUAGACACAUAUGUUAGUGUGAACAUAGAAUAGAUACCCACAAAAAAUGAAGAGAAUAGAGCAAAAUAAUUGAUGUAAUAAACAAUAGGAGUGACAGAUUGAGAGAAAAAAUAGGUGUAUAUUAUAUGUCUGACUAUCAUUAGUUUUAUAUAAAAUAAAAGAAAUUGAAACUAUGCAUUUAAGUCUGUUUUUGCAUGUGGUUGACUUGAUGAAUUUAUGUGUGGUGUGAUGUGAGUGUUGUGUGGGAAUUACAUAUACUUGAAAUGGCAACACCUUCUUCUUCUUCAGGGUCAAUGGGAGUUAAAGAUACAUGGAAGUCCCAUUUGGGCUUGGCGAUGGUGCAGCUAUUCUAUGGUGGCUACCAUGUCAUCACCAAAGUGGCCCUGAAUGAUGGGGUCAACCAACUUGUCUUCUGCUUCUACCGGGAUCUCCUUGCCUUCUGCAUUCUUGCUCCCAUCGCUUUCUUCAAAGAAAGGCAUGAUAUUUCUUCUUCCAUUUUUUUCUUCCCUUUUCACCUUUCUUUCAACCAAGAACCGAACUAAUUAUCCACAUGAAUGGUUUUAUAUUAUUAUUCGUGACACGCCCCCUCAUGUAAGAGCCUGUUUUUGGGCUUUCAUGUCUGUGCUCGAAGCGUGGAUAAUGCAUUUUCUCAUCUACUAUGUGCUGAAAUUCAACUUUUUAUUAGAAGAAUUGAGGUCAUAUAUAGAGGCUCUGAAACAUGAACUGAUUAUGCUAUAUUUCAAAAGCCAAGGGCUGCUGUUUUGAGAUAUAUAUGUUUAAUUGUGGGUUAUCUUCUUAUGAAUGCACUAGGCACAAUGGGUAUAAUACAUAUAUAUUUUUUUACCAUUCUAGCCUGGGAAAGGGGGAAUCCUAAUUAAAUUCAACUAUGCACUUUUUCUUCCUGCUAAAUUUGAAGUAUGCUUGGUAUUUAAUUACUGAUGUAAAAUGCCUUAUUAUUUAAAAUCUGGUAUUCUGGUUCUAGAAAUGUUCUACUUAUGCUUGAUUGUUGCUAAUGGUUCCAUAUCUGGCUUAUUUUGGUUGAUGGCAGCAAAGCAUGAGUUAUACCUGCUUUUUUCAAUUAGAUGAGCUACUCACUCAAGCUUAAGAAUUGGAAUUUUAACUCGAAAUUGGUUUCCUUCAAUUUAUUUCUGAUGUGUGAGUAUUUUAAUCCUUGCUGACUGUAGACAAACAAGACCGCCUAUUGAUAAGAAGCUAUUGAUGUCAUUCUUGUUUCUUGGAUUAACAGGGUAAGGGUCUUGCUCCAGUUCAUAUUUUUGUUUUAUAUGAAAUACAUAGUGUUCUGUUCAUGCAUAUUAUGUUUGUUUGAUCAGGAUAUUUGGCAACCAGCUCUUGUUUCUCAUUGGUUUAAGUUAUACAAAUCCAACUUAUGCUUCUGCUGUACAGCCAGCCAUUCCAGUUUUUACAUUUCUGUUUACCGUGAUAAUGGGGUUAGUUUCACUUUUACCAUUUUCUAUCUGAGUGUUUUAUGUAUGUUGUUCAUGAAAAGCACCAGAGAGACCGUACUAGGUCCAUUUAGGGAUGUCAAUAGAUACGGAUGGACAUGAAUAGUACAUAUAUGCCGGCCACCCACCCGUGGGUAAAAAUGCACGCUCGUACCCCUUCCAUACCCACAUGAAUAUCCAUUAAGUGGAUUUUUAACGGGUUCAACAAUAUUCACGGGUAUCCAUGGUCACCCAUGGAUAUAUAUUUGUCAAUAUUUAUUAAAAUACAAACUUAAGUAAAAGUACAUUUAAGAUAAAUAAAGGAUUUUGAAAUUAGAACAAUACUAUAAUACUAAAAUUAUUCAGUUCAGAUACACCAGGACAUAAAGUAAUGAGUAAUGUGUAGCUUAAUAUACUUAUUCGUGCAGUACAGAAAGCGUGAACUUGCUCAGAUGUGAAGGCCUGGCAAAGGUUGGAGGAACUGUUAUCUGUGUUUCAGGUGCCAUAUUGAUGGUUUUUUAUCGUGGUCCAGCAGUCAUAGGAUAUAGAGACGGGGGCCAUGAAACACAAAGUGAAAUCAGAGCCAGAGGUCAGACAGAGCCUUCUGGAUGGUUAAUCAGUGGUUUACAAGAUCUUGGAUUAGACCAUUUUAAACUUGGUGUCAUUUGCUUGAUAGGGAACACUUUGUGCAUGGCUGCUUUUCUAGCUUUUCAGGUAUCUAUUCUAGCUUUCGAAUUUUCCUCUUCCCCCUUUUCCCUUCCAACAAAAAACACACUACAACAAAGCUUUGAUGUUUUUCAUUUGAUUAAACCAAUCCUUUCAUACAGGUUAUCCCUUUUAAUGACCUAUUGCCAGAAGCACCAAUUAGGGUCAUUAAAAUUCUCUUCAUUAAUAACAUUAGUUAAGCUCACUCUACAACUUUUGUGAAGCAAUUUAUUGUGAACUUGUGAUCCUAGAUUCUUUUAUUUGUGACAUUGUCAGCGAGUUUUACUUGUGUCCAUUAAUUAUUUUCAGGCACCAGUAUUAAAAAAGUAUCCUGCAAAUCUCUCUGUCACAACAUAUUCAUUCUUCUUUGGAGUUGUACUAAUGGUGAUAAUGUCGUUGUUCAUUACUGAUGGACCGAGUGAUUGGAUUUUGACACAAUCAGAAAUACUUGCCGUUAUUUAUGCUGUGAGUCACUCAAAAUUUCAAAUCAAUCUUCAAUAUCACGACUCCUUAUAUUAGUCAUUGCUAUUGCGGAUUCUCUGGUCCAUUUUACUUCAUGGAACUGUUAUAGCCACCGUCAUGCUUGACAAGUUAAAAAACCAAGUUUCUCUAAAGCAUUCACAGGCAUGAGGCAUGUUUUGUAGCAUCCAAGCAAGUUUGACACCAUCUAAGUUGCAUGAACCGCUAGAUAGGCUACCUUUUAGUUGCAUAUAUAAGAAACUAAAGUUGACAUUUCCCUUAUCUAUAGUUGAGAAAAUAUGAUGGGAGCAGUAACAGUUUUAUUUUUUUAAAGUUGUAAUAGUUGAGAAUGAGAUGGAAGCAGCAAUAGCUGAGAAUAAGAUAGGAUUUAGCUGUUAUGGUUCAGCUAUUUGUACUGUCUUGUGAAGCAAAAUGGAGGGAAUAAAUAAUUUGCAGUGUCUUGCACAAAGUCAAAGAGUACAUUAAUAUGUCAUCGAAAAUUGUAUUUAGGUAAUGUACCUGAGGCAGUGAACUAAGAAAUGAAAGCUACUGGAGUAAAGCAAAGAGGUCUUUUUUUAAUGGAGGAAAAGAUUGAAAGUAUCCUAUGUUCUAAUUGAUUAUUUUGGUGGAGUUUUAACAUGUGGACUGUGACUUUCCUUAUUUACUCAGGGAACUAUUGCAUCUGCUCUUAAUUAUGGAAUCAUGACAUGGAGCAACAAGAUCUUAGGGCCAGCUUUGGUUGCUCUUUACAUGCCACUUCAACCUCUUUUUUCUUCUGUAAUGUCCCAGAUUUUCCUUGGAAGUCAAAUAUACAUGGGAAGGUAUAGCUCCUAUUACUUUCAGUUAUUGAUUCAUUUUGUUCCAACUUCUCAAAUGGACAUUUAAAAGUUUCCAACUACCAAUAACAAAGUAUAAGACAUUAAGAAUGAGAAAUUGCAAUCCAUCACUUGCUUAGGACUUAAAUGACUCUUAUCUAGUUGAAUUUGAUAUAGUUCUUUCAUGCAUUCUAAAAUUAUUUUAUUUCAGAAAAUCUUAUUAUUCUUGGUCUUUUUUUCCGUGUGAUGACAGUAUUAUAGGGGGAUCUUUUAUCAUUGCUGGUCUAUUUGUGGUUACUUGGGCCUCCUAUAGAGAAAGACAGGCAACUGCUGGAGUUACACCUGGUUCUUGGGUCUCUGAACCACUUCUUCAUGGAAAAAUUGCAGAUCAUAUAGACCACCUCUUUUCGGGGUCCUCUAGCGUAUCCCCGAACCCAAAGUCCUCAGAUUAACAUGUUUGGAUUCACUUUUAAGUUUGUGAGAAUCACACUUCUGCCUUCAUGAAAACUAGGCAUAAUAGCUUCUUUCAGAAUCACUUCUUUCCGAAUGAGGAAAUCCAUCGUGUUUCCAAGCACACCAUAGGAAAAUAAAUUACAGAAUGCCAACAAGGCUUUGUAAAUAUUGGUCUUGUGAUUCUUCAAUCUGUUAUUGCUAUCAUUUUAAUUGGAAACUCAAUACUUGAUGAAGUAUAUAUAUGUGGAGUGUUUGUUUGAGCAAAAACUUUUAUUAAAAUGCUUC
This 7470-nucleotide long non-coding RNA is filed under the name Lotus japonicus. RNAcentral describes it as "long non-coding RNA (LJAP_LNC001411)". Lineage: Eukaryota; Viridiplantae; Streptophyta; Magnoliopsida; Fabales; Fabaceae. The record is from RNAcentral.